Molecule: ribosomal RNA, 484 nt
Filed under: uncultured bacterium
Lineage: Bacteria
Description: partial 16S ribosomal RNA
Rfam family: Bacterial small subunit ribosomal RNA
Source: RNAcentral
GACGAACGCUGGCGGCGUGCAUAACACAUGCAAGUCGAACGAUGAAGCUGGAGCUUGCUCCGGUGGAUUAGUGGCGAACGGGUGAGUAACACGUGAGUAAUCUGCCCUUGACUCUGGGAUAACUGCGGGAAACUGUAGCUAAUACCGGAUACGACACCUUCGGGCAUCCGAUGGGUGUGGAAAGAAUUUCGGUCAAGGAUGAACUCGCGGCCUAUCAGCUAGUUGGUGAGGUAAUGGCUCACCAAGGCGACGACGGGUAGCCGGCCUGAGAGGGGAACCGGCCACACUGGGACUGAGACACGGCCCAGACUCCUACGGGAGGCAGCAGUGGGGAAUAUUGCACAAUGGGCGAAAGCCUGAUGCAGCAACGCCGCGUGAGGGAUGAAGGCCUUCGGGUUGUAAACCUCUUUUAGUUGGGAAGAAGCGAAAGUGACGGUACCAACAGAAAAAGCACCGGCUAACUACGUGCCAGCCGCCGCCGUAA